GUCAGCUCGUGUCGUGAGAAGUCGCGUUAAGUCGNUUAAAGAGAGAAACCCUUGUCAUUAGUUACCNGCGCGUCAUAGCGGGGACUCUAAGGAGACUGCCGGUGUUAAAACGGAGGAAGGUGGGGAUGACGUCAAGUAUUCAUGGCCUUUAUGCNAAGGUAUGCACACGUCCUACAAUGCAUUUUAUAAAGCGACGCAAAGUUGUGAGACCAAGCAAAUCGCAAAAAGCAAUGCUCAGUUCGGANUGUAGGCUGAAAUUCGCCUACAUGAAGCCGGAAUAGUUAGUAAUCGCGGGUCAGCAUACCGCGGUGAAUGUGUUCCUGAGCCUUGUACACACCGCCCGUCAAGCCACGAAAGUUGGGGGGGCCCGAAGUCACGAUGCUAACCGCAAGGGGGUUAGUUNNNNNGGUCAACUCGAUGAUUGAACUAAGUUUUAAUANUNAAAUCG
Molecule: ribosomal RNA, 448 nt
Filed under: uncultured bacterium
Lineage: Bacteria
Description: partial 16S ribosomal RNA
Rfam family: Bacterial small subunit ribosomal RNA
Source: RNAcentral